GAGGGAUAUUACCGAGUUUACAACUCCCAAACCCAAUGUGAACCAUACCAAACUGUUGCCUCGGCGGGGUCACGCCCCGGGUGCGUCGCAGCCCCGGAACCAGGCGCCCGCCGGAGGGACCAACCAAACUCUUUCUGUAGUCCCCUCGCGGACGUUAUUUCUUACAGCUCUGAGCAAAAAUUCAAAAUGAAUCAAAACUUUCAACAACGGAUCUCUUGGUUCUGGCAUCGAUGAAGAACGCAGCGAAAUGCGAUAAGUAAUGUGAAUUGCAGAAUUCAGUGAAUCAUCGAAUCUUUGAACGCACAUUGCGCCCGCCAGUAUUCUGGCGGGCAUGCCUGUCCGAGCGUCAUUUCAACCCUCGAACCCCUCCGGGGGGUCGGCGUUGGGGAUCGGGAACCCCUAAGACGGGAUCCCGGCCCCGAAAUACAGUGGCGGUCUCGCCGCAGCCUCUCCUGCGCAGUAGUUUGCACAACUCGCACCGGGAGCGCGGCGCGUCCACGUCCGUAAAACACCCAACUUCUGAAAUGUUGACCUCGGAUCAGGUAGGAAUACCCGCUGAACUUAAGCAUAUCAAUAA
RNAcentral lists this ribosomal RNA (577 nucleotides) under Trichoderma koningiopsis. RNAcentral describes it as "eukaryotic LSU rRNA". The stretch from base 196 to 349 matches the Rfam family "5.8S ribosomal RNA". Lineage: Eukaryota; Fungi; Ascomycota; Sordariomycetes; Hypocreales; Hypocreaceae. The record is from RNAcentral.